AGAGUUUGAUCCUGGCUCAGGACGAACGCUGGCGGCGUGCCUAAUACAUGCAAGUCGAGCGAGCUUGCCUAGAUGAUUUUAGUGCUUGCACUAAAUGAAACUAGAUACAAGCGAGCGGCGGACGGGUGAGUAACACGUGGGUAACCUGCCCAAGAGACUGGGAUAACACCUGGAAACAGAUGCUAAUACCGGAUAACAACACUAGACGCAUGUCUAGAGUUUGAAAGAUGGUUCUGCUAUCACUCUUGGAUGGACCUGCGGUGCAUUAGCUAGUUGGUAAGGUAACGGCUUACCAAGGCAAUGAUGCAUAGCCGAGUUGAGAGACUGAUCGGCCACAUUGGGACUGAGACACGGCCCAAACUCCUACGGGAGGCAGCAGUAGGGAAUCUUCCACAAUGGACGAAAGUCUGAUGGAGCAACGCCGCGUGAGUGAAGAAGGGUUUCGGCUCGUAAAGCUCUGUUGGUAGUGAAGAAAGAUAGAGGUAGUAACUGGCCUUUAUUUGACGGUAAUUACUUAGAAAGUCACGGCUAACUACGUGCCAGCAGCCGCGGUAAUACGUAGGUGGCAAGCGUUGUCCGGAUUUAUUGGGCGUAAAGCGAGUGCAGGCGGUUCAAUAAGUCUGAUGUGAAAGCCUUCGGCUCAACCGGAGAAUUGCAUCAGAAACUGUUGAACUUGAGUGCAGAAGAGGAGAGUGGAACUCCAUGUGUAGCGGUGGAAUGCGUAGAUAUAUGGAAGAACACCAGUGGCGAAGGCGGCUCUCUGGUCUGCAACUGACGCUGAGGCUCGAAAGCAUGGGUAGCGAACAAAAUUAGAUACCCUGGUAGUCCAUGCCGUAAACGAUCAGUGCUAAGUGUUGGGAGGGUUCCGCCU
RNAcentral lists this ribosomal RNA (871 nucleotides) under uncultured bacterium. RNAcentral describes it as "bacterial SSU rRNA". It matches the Rfam family "Bacterial small subunit ribosomal RNA", at positions 8 to 838 of the family's 1533-position model. The record is from RNAcentral.